AUUGAACGCUGGCGGCAUGCUUUACACAUGCAAGUCGGACGGCAGCACAGAGAAGCUUGCUUCUUGGGUGGCGAGUGGCGAACGGGUGAGUAUAUAACGGAACGGACCGGGGAAUUGGGGAAAACUAAAUGAAAGAUUAGCUAAUACCGCAUAAUCUCUUAGGGGGGAAGCAGGGGGCCUUCGGGCCUUGGGUUAUUUCGGCGGGCGAUAUCUGAUUAGCUAGUUGGUGGGGUAAAGGCCUACCAAGGCGACGAACAGUAGCGGGUCUGAGAGGAUGAUCCGCCACACUGGGACUGAGACACGGCCCAGACUCCUACGGGAGGCAGCAGUGGGGAAUUUUGGACAAUGGGCGCAAGCCUGAUCCAGCCAUGCCGCGUGUCUGAAGAAGGCCUUCGGGUUGUAAAGGACUUUUGUCAGGGAAGAAAAGGCUGUUGCUAAUAUCGACAGCUGAUGACGGUACCUGAAGAAUAAGCACCGGCUAACUACGUG
RNAcentral lists this ribosomal RNA (489 nucleotides) under uncultured bacterium. Its description in RNAcentral is "partial 16S ribosomal RNA". It matches the Rfam family "Bacterial small subunit ribosomal RNA", at positions 30 to 507 of the family's 1533-position model. The record is from RNAcentral.